RNAcentral lists this ribosomal RNA (400 nucleotides) under uncultured bacterium. RNAcentral's name for it is "bacterial SSU rRNA". It matches the Rfam family "Bacterial small subunit ribosomal RNA", at positions 359 to 776 of the family's 1533-position model. The record is from RNAcentral.
GAAUUUUGCGCAAUGGGCGAAAGCCUGACGCAGCAACGCCGCGUGAGGGAUGAAGGCCUUCGGGUCGUAAACCUCUUUUCUCAGGGACGAUGAUGACGGUACCUGAGGAAUAAGCCACGGCUAACUACGUGCCAGCAGCCGCGGUAAUACGUAGGUGGCGAGCGUUGUCCGGAUUUACUGGGCGUAAAGAGCGCGCAGGCGGUCGUUCGAGUCGCGUGCGAAAGCCCCCGGCUCAACUGGGGAGGGUCACGCGAUACUGAUCGACUCGAAGGCGGGAGAGGGAAGCGGAAUUCCCGGUGUAGUGGUGAAAUGCGUAGAUAUCGGGAGGAACACCAGUGGCGAAGGCGGCUUCCUGGCCCGUUCUUGACGCUGAGGCGCGAAAGCUAGGGGAGCAAACGGG